AGGGCACCACCAGGAGUGGAGCCUGCGGCUUAAUUUGACUCAACACGGGAAAACUCACCCGGCCCGGACACUGGAAGGAUUGACAGAUUGAGAGCUCUUUCUUGAUUCAGUGGGUGGUGGUGCAUGGCCGUUCUUAGUUGGUGGAGCGAUUUGUCUGGUUAAUUCCGAUAACAAACGAGACUCUAGCCUACUAGUUAGCCGGCCCGGUCGUUAUGCGCCCGGGCAGCGAGCUUCUUAGAGGGACAGACGGCGAGUAAGCCGUACGAGAUAGAGCAAUAACAGGUCUGUGAUGCCCUUAGAUGACCGGGGCCGCACGCGCGCUACACUGAAGUGAUCAGCACGCUAGCAAGCCCGCUCCGAGAGGAGCGGGUAACCGUUUGAACCCCCUUCAUGAUAGGGAUCGAGCUUUGUAACUAUUGCUCAUGAACGAGGAAUUCCCUGUAGGCGUGAGUCAUUACCUUACGCCGAUUACGUCCCUGCCCUUUGUACACACCGCCCGUCGCUACUACCGAUUGAAUG
RNAcentral lists this ribosomal RNA (519 nucleotides) under uncultured eukaryote. Its description in RNAcentral is "SSU rRNA". It matches the Rfam family "Eukaryotic small subunit ribosomal RNA", at positions 1161 to 1695 of the family's 1831-position model. The record is from RNAcentral.